CGCUGGCGGCAGGCUUAACACAUGCAAGUCGAACGAUGAUUAUCUAGCUUGCUAGAUAUGAUUAGUGGCGGACGGGUGAGUAACAUUUAGGAAUCUGCCUAGUAGUGGGGGAUAGCUCGGGGAAACUCGAAUUAAUACCGCAUACGACCUACGGGUGAAAGGGGGCGCAAGCUCUUGCUAUUAGAUGAGCCUAAAUCAGAUUAGCUAGUUGGUGGGGUAAAGGCCCACCAAGGCGACGAUCUGUAACUGGUCUGAGAGGAUGAUCAGUCACACCGGAACUGAGACACGGUCCGGACUCCUACGGGAGGCAGCAGUGGGGAAUAUUGGACAAUGGGGGCAACCCUGAUCCAGCCAUGCCGCGUGUGUGAAGAAGGCCUUUUGGUUGUAAAGCACUUUAAGCAGGGAGGAGAGGCUAAUGGUUAAUACCCAUUAGAUUAGACGUUACCUGCAGAAUAAGCACCGGCUAACUCUGUGCCAGCAGCCGCGGUAAUACAGAGGGUGCGAGCGUUAAUCGGAAUUACUGGGCGUAAAGCGAGUGUAGGUGGCUCAUUAAGUCACAUGUGAAAUCCCCGGGCUUAACCUGGGAACUGCAUGUGAUACUGGUGGUGCUAGAAUAUGUGAGAGGGAAGUAGAAUUCCAGGUGUAGCGGUGAAAUGCGUAGAGAUCUGGAGGAAUACCGAUGGCGAAGGCAGCUUCCUGGCAUAAUAUUGACACUGAGAUUCGAAAGCGUGGGUAGCAAACAGGAUUAGAUACCCUGGUAGUCCACGCCGUAAACGAUGUCUACUAGCCGUUGGGGUCCUUGAGACUUUAGUGGCGCAGUUAACGCGAUAAGUAGACCGCCUGGGGAGUACGGCCGCAGGGUUAAAACUCAAAUGAAUUGACGGGGGCCCGCACAAGCGGUGGAGCAUGUGGUUUAAUUCGAUGCAACGCGAAGAACCUUACCUGGUCUUGACAUAGUGAGAAUCCUGCAGAGAUGCGGGAGUGCCUUCGGGAAUUCACAUACAGGUGCUGCAUGGCUGUCGUCAGCUCGUGUCGUGAGAUGUUGGGUUAAGUCCCGCAACGAGCGCAACCCUUUUCCUUAUUUGCCAGCGGGUUAAGCCGGGAACUUUAAGGAUACUGCCAGUGACAAACUGGAGGAAGGCGGGGACGACGUCAAGUCAUCAUGGCCCUUACGACCAGGGCUACACACGUGCUACAAUGGUAGGUACAGAGGGUUGCCACACAGCGAUGUGAUGCUAAUCUCAAAAAGCCUAUCGUAGUCCGGAUCGGAGUCUGCAACUCGACUCCAUGAAGUCGGAAUCGCUAGUAAUCGCAGAUCAGAAUGCUGCGGUGAAUACGUUCCCGGGCCU
RNAcentral lists this ribosomal RNA (1349 nucleotides) under uncultured bacterium. RNAcentral describes it as "16S ribosomal RNA". It matches the Rfam family "Bacterial small subunit ribosomal RNA", at positions 34 to 1381 of the family's 1533-position model. The record is from RNAcentral.